UACGUAGGGGGCGAGCGUUGUUCGGAAUUACUGGGCGUAAAGGGCGCGUAGGCGGCCUGCUAAGUCAUACGUGAAAUCCCUCGGCUCAACCGAGGAACUGCGUCUGAUACUGGUUGGCUUGAAUUCGGGAGAGGGAUGCGGAAUUCCAGGUGUAGCGGUGAAAUGCGUAGAUAUCUGGAGGAACACCGGUGGCGAAGGCGGCAUCCUGGACCAACACUGACGCUGAGGAGCGAAAGCCAGGGGAGCAAACGGG
This 253-nucleotide ribosomal RNA is filed under the name uncultured bacterium. RNAcentral describes it as "partial 16S ribosomal RNA". It matches the Rfam family "Bacterial small subunit ribosomal RNA", at positions 524 to 776 of the family's 1533-position model. The record is from RNAcentral.